This 1023-nucleotide long non-coding RNA is filed under the name Dromaius novaehollandiae (emu). RNAcentral's name for it is "lncRNA (ENSDNVG00000015461.1)". Lineage: Eukaryota; Metazoa; Chordata; Aves; Casuariiformes; Dromaiidae. The record is from RNAcentral.
AGUGCAGCAUAGACGCAGGUGGGGGGGGGAGCAGGGCGUCACCCAGCGCUGCCCCCCCCCGCGGAAAAUCCCUCCCCCGCCAGAGUUUCCACCCCGGCACAAGUUGCAUCGAGUCCGGGAAACCAGAGGCGGAGGCGUCGGGGGCACGGCUGCCCCGCGGGGCUCACGCCUGCCCCGGCCGGACGCCGUCGUCCCAGCGGGCCUCCGCCAGCCCCCAGCACGGGGGGCUGGGGCUGGGGUAGGUGCCGCGCGGCGGGGGGGCCGCGAAGGGGGGGCCCAGCGAGGAGCCCUCCAGUGACAUCUCCUGCAGGAACUGCUCGAAGUCGGCGCUCGGCGGCAGCUCCAUGCCGGGCGCCAUCCUGGGGGCGGAGGGGCGGCGUGAGCCGGGGUGGGGGCCCCCACCGCCCCCCGGCCCCCCGUGCUUACCACCUCGGGGAGCCCUGCGGCGGCGGCUCCAGCAGCGGCGGCGGCGGCAGGAACAGGCCCAUCUCGGGCAUCUCCUCGUCCUGCGGCUCCGGCGAGGGGCCGCCGGGCAGCAGCUGCGGGGGCUCCGCCGAGGAAGCCAACGUCACUAGGGCAACGUCGCGGGGAGCAAAACAACGCGGCGGCCGCGGCCCCCCGGCCCCCCGCCGCCCCCCCUCAGACCUGCGUCUCUGCUCAGGGCUGGCGAACCCGCGGCCCGGCGCGGAGGCCGGGCAUGCCCCAAUCUGCCGGGAGGCCGCGGGAGGCGCCGUGCUCCCCCGCUCCCAGCCGCCGCCGCCGCCGCUUCUCCGAUCCGGCCGGGCCCGAGUUCGCUUCCUCUCCCAGCUGGCGGCUCCCGCACGCAGCCUUUUCCUGCCCGCUGCUGCGGCACACGGCCUCUCCCUGCCAAGACGCAGCUCCGGCGACGACGCCCCGGCCGUGGCGAAACCGCGCGAGGUUUCCCGCAGCAGCGCCGGAGGCUCCCGGCGCCUUCGCAAUGUCAGCUGGCACGGAGCGGGCCACGUGGUGUUUGCUCGGCCAGCCUACCCGCGGCCACGCGCA